CGCGGUAAUACGGAGGAUCCAAGCGUUAUCCGGAUUUAUUGGGUUUAAAGGGUGCGCAGGCGGAAGAUUAAGUCGGCGGUGAAAUUUUGCAGCUCAACUGUAAAAGUACCAUCGAUACUGGUUUUCUUGAGUGUGGAUGAAGUAGGCGGAAUUUGUGGUGUAGCGGUGAAAUGCAUAGAUAUCACGAGGAACUCCGAUUGCGCAGGCAGCUGUCUGGACAAGAUCCGACGCUCAUGCACGAAAGCGUGGGGAGCAAAAGG
Molecule: ribosomal RNA, 260 nt
Filed under: uncultured bacterium
Lineage: Bacteria
Description: partial 16S ribosomal RNA
Rfam family: Bacterial small subunit ribosomal RNA
Source: RNAcentral